Molecule: unclassified non-coding RNA, 308 nt
Filed under: Hevea brasiliensis (rubber tree)
Lineage: Eukaryota; Viridiplantae; Streptophyta; Magnoliopsida; Malpighiales; Euphorbiaceae
Source: RNAcentral
UUUUCUCCAAAAUUUAAGAAUUACUAAAACAAUCUCUUUGAUGAAGUAUCUCAAAUCAAAGUAAAUCAACCAGCAAAAGUAAAUAAAAGUUGUAUAAGAGAAAGAUGAAAGCACAACAUAUCAUGCCUGCAUAUAGAAGACAGACACUGAAAAAUUUAAACACACAACAGCAGUAAUUCACAAAGCACUAAAUAGAUAUGUACUUGUUUUCAGGAUCACCAUUCACAAAAUUGACAAACUGAGUUCACUCUGAAAAUAUUGGCAUUCUAUACAUUUUUCCCCCUUCAACAAAUAAGAUCUUUCCUAGA